This 194-nucleotide ribosomal RNA is filed under the name uncultured bacterium. RNAcentral's name for it is "partial 16S ribosomal RNA". It matches the Rfam family "Bacterial small subunit ribosomal RNA", at positions 163 to 353 of the family's 1533-position model. The record is from RNAcentral.
UUAAUACCGCAUAAGAUUGUAGUAUCGCAUGAUAUAGCAAUUAAAGGAGCAAUUCGCUAUAAGAUGGACCCGCGUCGCAUUAGCUAGUUGGUGAGGUAAUGGCUCACCAAGGCGACGAUGCGUAGCCGACCUGAGAGGGUGAUCGGCCACAUUGGGACUGAGACACGGCCCAGACUCCUACGGGAGGCAGCAUG